RNAcentral lists this unclassified non-coding RNA (285 nucleotides) under uncultured fungus. RNAcentral's name for it is "sequence contains ITS2". Lineage: Eukaryota; Fungi. The record is from RNAcentral.
CAACCCACGCUCGACGGCGUUCUUAAUUGCAACGUGCAGUCGGUUGUUGAAUGAGUUUCACACUGUCAAGGUGUGUAACUUGAAGCAUCGACAGUUUACAAGUUCAUCGCACACAAACGACGAACUCCCUGUCGAACGCUAAGCAAUGCGGUUAAUUUUUGCCGUUCGCGGCGAAUCUACAAUUGCAUUUGUUUGGAUGUUUGACAAACAAAGGGACUCGUUGGCGAAACGAACUCGAUUCCAAGUCCUUGGUGGUUAUUUGGAAAUCGAACCUAAAACUUUUGA